Molecule: small RNA, 637 nt
Filed under: Pan troglodytes (chimpanzee)
Lineage: Eukaryota; Metazoa; Chordata; Mammalia; Primates; Hominidae
Description: processed transcript
Source: RNAcentral
GACCACCCGGAGUGAUUGCCCGGCAGAGCGCGGUAAAGAAUCUCAUUUGGACACAUUGAGUCGGGCACAACUGACCCAACUUUUCUUAGCCUCAGUCCUGGAAUGCCCUUUCUAUAAGGGUCCAAAACUCCUUCCUAAAUAUCAAGUGAAGUCAUUUCUUACCCCAUGCUGUUCCCUGGAGACCCCUGUGGAUUCUCAGCUUUAUAGAUAUGUGAAGAUUGGGCUGACUAACCUUUUAGGAGCAAGAUUAUAUUUUGCUCCAAAAGUGUUGACACCCUAUUGUUAUACAAUAGAUGUUGAAAUUAAAUUAGAUGAAGAAGGAUUUGUAUUGCCAUCCACAGCUAAUGAAGAUAUCCAUAAAAGGAUAGCACUGUGUAUUGAUGGUCCAAAAAGGUUUUGCUCCAAUAGCAAACACUUACUGGGGAAAGAAGCUAUUAAACAAAGACACCUACAGUUACUCGGUUAUCAAGUUGUUCAGAUCCCCUAUCAUGAGAUUGGGAUGCUAAAAUCAAGACGUGAAUUGGUGGAAUAUUUACAAAGAAAACUGUUUUCUCAAAACACUGUUCAUUGGUUGCAAGAAUGAAUACUGACUUCAGAACUCAAACAAUGGAAGAACUUGCAUUUUUAUGGAACUCAG